ACUGUAUCUGAAGUCUCUUUAUAUAGACCUUAGUGGUCCCUUUGGUUGCAGGUCUGGUCUGUGUGUGUGGACGGCAGCGAGCAGCAGGAAGACGGUGCAGACGGAGAGAAGGAGCGGCUGAGAAGGUUAAACCGGCAGCUGAAGAGUCGAACCGCUCAGCUGGAUGCAGAAAUAGAAACCAUGACCAUGCAGCUGUGUGAAGCGUGUGAUCCCCCGACGAGAGGACGACACAACGCCGGUGGAUCCAGACCCGGGACCUGGACUCAUGCAGCUCAGGUCUGCUCCGACAGGAACUCGGAGGUCGAAGGUUCGAGUCCCGACAGCAUCAACUCCCCUGAACGGUGAGGAGC
Long non-coding RNA from Etheostoma cragini (Arkansas darter), 350 nucleotides. RefSeq lists it as uncharacterized. NCBI's taxonomy places the organism in Eukaryota, Metazoa, Chordata, Actinopteri, Perciformes, Percidae. The transcript is spliced from 3 exons. The record is from RefSeq and is a predicted model, not a curated record.